UACAGAGGUCUCAAGCGUUGUUCGGAUUCAUUGGGCGUAAAGGGUGCGUAGGCGGCGCGGUAAGUCGGGUGUGAAAUCUCGGGGCUUAACUCCGAAACUGCAUUCGAUACUGGGUGUCUUGAGUGUGGAAGAGGUCAGUGGAAUUGCGAGUGUAGAGGUGAAAUUCGUAGAUAUUCGCAGGAACACCAGUGGCGAAGGCGGCUGACUGGUCCACAACUGACGCUGAGGUGCGAAAGCGUGGGGAGCAAACAGG
This 253-nucleotide ribosomal RNA is filed under the name uncultured bacterium. Its description in RNAcentral is "partial 16S ribosomal RNA". It matches the Rfam family "Bacterial small subunit ribosomal RNA", at positions 524 to 776 of the family's 1533-position model. The record is from RNAcentral.